Long non-coding RNA from Salvia miltiorrhiza (redroot sage), 371 nucleotides. RefSeq lists it as uncharacterized. The record is from RefSeq and is a predicted model, not a curated record. The transcript has 3 exons. NCBI's taxonomy places the organism in Eukaryota, Viridiplantae, Streptophyta, Magnoliopsida, Lamiales, Lamiaceae.
AAACUUUAUUGGUCCUAAACCUAAUCAAACAAACUUUCUACAGGGAAUAGCAAGGUUGGACGUGUUAUAUUAGCUGCUGCUGCUAAGCAUCUUACACCUGUGAUUUUGGAGCUUGGUGGGAAAUGUCCAGUAAUCGUUGAUUCAAACAUCAACUUAACAGUUGCGGCAAGAAGAAUAAUCUCAGGCAAGUGGGGAUGCAACAGUGGACAAACCUGUGUUUCACCUGAUUAUAUAAUAACUACAAAGGACUAUGCAUCAAAAUUUGUUGAUGCUCUUUCAUCUGAACUAGAAAAAUUCUAUGGAAAGGAUCCUGUGAAUUCAAAGGACUUGUCAAAAAUUAUAAAUUCCCGACAUUUUGAACGUCUAACAAA